This 99-nucleotide small nuclear RNA is filed under the name Peromyscus maniculatus bairdii (prairie deer mouse). The record is from RNAcentral. Lineage: Eukaryota; Metazoa; Chordata; Mammalia; Rodentia; Cricetidae.
UCACUUCAGCUGUAAGUAUAGUGAAAUUGGAACAAACAGAGGUUAGUAUGGCCACUGCACAAGGGUGACACAAAAAUUUGUGAGGUGUUCCACAGAAAG